UACGUAGGUGGCAAGCGUUGUCCGGAUUUACUGGGCGUAAAGGGAGCGUAGGCGGACUUUUAAGUGGGAUGUGAAAUACCCGGGCUCAACCUGGGUGCUGCAUUCCAAACUGGAAGUCUAGAGUGCAGGAGGGGAAAGUGGAAUUCCUAGUGUAGCGGUGAAAUGCGUAGAGAUUAGGAAGAACACCAGUGGCGAAGGCGACUUUCUGGACUGUAACUGACGCUGAGGCUCGAAAGCGUGGGGAGCAAACAGGAUUAGAUACCCCGGUAGUCCCUGAGCGGG
RNAcentral lists this ribosomal RNA (282 nucleotides) under uncultured prokaryote. Its description in RNAcentral is "partial 16S ribosomal RNA". It matches the Rfam family "Bacterial small subunit ribosomal RNA", at positions 524 to 803 of the family's 1533-position model. The record is from RNAcentral.